UCCCUUGUAGCUCAGUCGGUAGAGCGUUCGGCUUUUAUGCGAACCUGUAUCUGCUACCAAGGUACCGAAAUGUCCAGGGUUCGAGCCCCUGCAGGGGAG
Non-coding RNA from Myxozyma melibiosi, 99 nucleotides. The record is from the annotation of a RefSeq genome assembly. Lineage: Eukaryota; Fungi; Ascomycota; Lipomycetes; Lipomycetales; Lipomycetaceae.